UCCCUGGUGGCUUAGACGGUAAAGAAUCUGCCCGCAAUGCAGGGGACCCAGGUUCGAUCCCUGGGUUGGGAA
Ovis aries (sheep) is the source of this 72-nucleotide transfer RNA. It matches the Rfam family "tRNA". From Rfam's summary of the family: Transfer RNA (tRNA) molecules are approximately 80 nucleotides in length. The record is from Rfam. Lineage: Eukaryota; Metazoa; Chordata; Mammalia; Artiodactyla; Bovidae.